This 504-nucleotide ribosomal RNA is filed under the name Triticum aestivum (bread wheat). RNAcentral's name for it is "partial small subunit ribosomal RNA". Lineage: Eukaryota; Viridiplantae; Streptophyta; Magnoliopsida; Poales; Poaceae. The record is from RNAcentral.
AUGGCGCGGCGCGGGCGUGUGGAGCUGCGGCGGAUCGAGGACCGGACGAGCCGGCAGGUGCGCUUCUCCAAGCGCCGCGCGGGGCUCUUCAAGAAGGCCUUCGAGCUCGCGGUCCUCUGCGACGCCGAGGUCUCGCUGCUCGUCUUCUCCCCCGCCGGCAGGCUCUACGAGUACGCCUCCUCCAGCAUAGAAGGUACAUAUGACCGCUAUCAGGCAUUUGCAAGAGCCGGAAAGGACGUGAAUGAACCUGGUGCAAGUAACAACAAUGAUGGAGAUCCUUCAAAUAUACAGUCAAGGCUUAAAGAGAUUACUUCCUGGUCUCUUCAAAACAAUGCUGAUGACUCAGAUGCUAAUGAGCUAGAGAAACUGGAGAAACUACUGACAGAUGCUUUGAAGAAUACAAGAUCCAAGAAGAUGUUGGCGCAACGAAAUAGCGGUGCGGGAACGAGUGCAAGCGGCGAGAACUCCGGUCGUCCUAGGGGACAGAAGGAAGGAAGGACUUGA